This is a long non-coding RNA of Cucumis melo (muskmelon), 630 nucleotides long. RefSeq lists it as uncharacterized. The transcript has 2 exons. Lineage: Eukaryota; Viridiplantae; Streptophyta; Magnoliopsida; Cucurbitales; Cucurbitaceae. The record is from RefSeq and is a predicted model, not a curated record.
GUUUUAUGAAGAGGAGAAAAAGGAGAAAACUGAGCAGAGAAAGGCAGGGUCUCAAAAAGGGUUGAAGGAAUCCAAGAAGUCAGAACUGUGCUGAAGGAAAAUCUAGAAGUCAAGAACACCAAAAAGCGUGGUGAUUGAUUCAACCUUCCUUGAGUAGGGGAUCAUUCAUCUACAGUAAUCAGACUGGAAUCACUGUGGGACUGAUCAUUACACUCUCGAUGGUAAAAUACAUACUAUAUAUUGCUUAGGUUAGUCUGCAUUAGUGAUUUCAAUGACUCUUUUAGAAGGGGUAUGGCCCAGACGAUUGAUGGUGGGUGAAAUUGCACAUCAGCACUUUUAAAAAUGGCAUUGAAAACUGGAGGAGGUGCCGCAGUAAGAUCCAAGUUGUUUGGAGACAUAGUUGAAUUGUGAAACGUGGAUUGGUUAUAUCAAGCCUAGGUCAGUGAAAAAUCGAAUGAGCGGCAGCUGGAUUAUUUUGGAGAGAGGUUCCUGAACUUAAUCAAUCACUCUAUUGCAAAACUACUUGAAUCAAGGCCUAAUCUGAUGUACCUAAGAAAACUUUUAGACUAAUUGAAAAUGCACAUGUUGAGAAUUUAUUCAUGAUGUCAUUUAUUUCACAUAGUUUUGACA